UUACCAGGUCUUGACAUCCCGAUGCUAUUCUAGAGAUAGAAAGUUACUUCGGUACAUCGGUGACAGGUGGUGCAUGGUUGUCGUCAGCUCGUGUCGUGAGAUGUUGGGUUAAGUCCCGCAACGAGCGCAACCCCUAUUGUUAGUUGCCAUCAUUCAGUUGGGCACUCUAGCGAGACUGCCGGUAAUAAACCGGAGGAAGGUGGGGAUGACGUCAAAUCAUCAUGCCCCUUAUGACCUGGGCUACACACGUGCUACAAUGGUUGGUACAACGAGUUGCGAGUCGGUGACGGCGAGCUAAUCUCUUAAAGCCAAUCUCAGUUCGGAUUGUAGGCUGCAACUCGCCUACAUGAAGUCGGAAUCGCUAGUAAUCGCGGAUCAGCACGCCGCGGUGAAUACGUUCCCGGGCCUU
RNAcentral lists this ribosomal RNA (409 nucleotides) under uncultured Streptococcus sp. RNAcentral's name for it is "bacterial SSU rRNA". It matches the Rfam family "Bacterial small subunit ribosomal RNA", at positions 971 to 1382 of the family's 1533-position model. The record is from RNAcentral. Lineage: Bacteria; Bacillati; Bacillota; Bacilli; Lactobacillales; Streptococcaceae.